RNAcentral lists this transfer RNA (64 nucleotides) under Capillolejeunea mascarena. RNAcentral describes it as "partial tRNA-Phe". It matches the Rfam family "tRNA", at positions 1 to 59 of the family's 71-position model. Rfam says of the family: Transfer RNA (tRNA) molecules are approximately 80 nucleotides in length. Their secondary structure includes four short double-helical elements and three loops (D, anti-codon, and T loops). Further hydrogen bonds mediate the characteristic L-shaped molecular structure. tRNAs have two regions of fundamental functional importance: the anti-codon, which is responsible for specific mRNA codon recognition, and the 3' end, to which the tRNAs corresponding amino acid is attached (by aminoacyl-tRNA synthetases). tRNAs cope with the degeneracy of the genetic code in two manners: having more than one tRNA (with a specific anti-codon) for a particular amino acid; and 'wobble' base-pairing, i.e. permitting non-standard base-pairing at the 3rd anti-codon position. Lineage: Eukaryota; Viridiplantae; Streptophyta; Jungermanniopsida; Porellales; Lejeuneaceae. The record is from RNAcentral.
GCCGGGAUAGCUCAGUUGGUAGAGCAGGGGACUGAAAAUCCUCGUGUCACCAGUUCAAAUAGCC